CUCUUGAGCACGGGAUACCAACCUAACUGGAACUCCCCUAGUAACGGCGAGUGAAGCGGGAAGAGCUCAAAUUUGAAAUCUGGCGGCCUUUGGUCGUCCGAGUUGUAGUCUGGAGAAGCGUCUUCCGCGCCGGACCGUGUACAAGUCCCUUGGAACGGGGCGUCAUAGAGGGUGAGAAUCCCGUCUUUGACCCCGACCGCCGGUGCUUUGUGAUGCGCUCUCAAAGAGUCGAGUUGUUUGGGAAUGCAGCUCAAAACGGGUGGUAAAUUCCAUCUAAAGCUAAAUAUUGGCGAAAGACCGAUAGCGAACAAGUACCGUGAGGGAAAGAUGAAAAGCACUUUGGAAAGAGAGUUAAACAGUACGUGAAAUUGUUGAAAGGGAAACGCUUGAAGUCAGUCGCGUCUUUCGGGACUCAACCUUGCUUUUGCCUGGGCGUACUUCCCCAGGGGACCGGGCCCGCAUCAUUUUGACCGUCGGAGAAAGGGCUUUGGAAUGUGGCACCUCCCCGGUGUGUUAUUACCCCUUGGUCGCAUGCGACGGUUGGGAUCGAAGGACCCCAMCACCCCUUUUUGGCCCGGGGUUCGCCCCCCUAACCRGGCUUAGGAUGCUUGCGUAAUGGGCUUUAAACCAACCCCUCUUU
RNAcentral lists this ribosomal RNA (640 nucleotides) under Gomphus clavatus. RNAcentral describes it as "eukaryotic LSU rRNA". It matches the Rfam family "Eukaryotic large subunit ribosomal RNA", at positions 43 to 656 of the family's 3401-position model. Lineage: Eukaryota; Fungi; Basidiomycota; Agaricomycetes; Gomphales; Gomphaceae. The record is from RNAcentral.